CCUCACUCUUCGUUUACGAUGCGUUUGGCGUCCGUGACCGUCCUCAUCCUCGGCUCUCUCCUCCCACUUCCUUUCUCGUCCCCAUCCGCCACCCGCCCCGACUCUCUCCUCCUCGCCCCGCCGGCGAGCGGCGGCCUUCUCUUCCACUGGCACCGGAUCCGCCACCGCCACGCCUCCUUCUCCUCCUCCCUGACGCGCUCCUCUUUGCAUCUGACGCCCACCCCUCCCUCGUCUGCUUCCCUCCCCCAAGUUCUUCCAAACCCUAGCUUUCAAAUCCUUCAAAUCCGGUGAUCUCCGGCCAAGCUAGGAGCCAAUCCUUGCUGCCACCUCAAAGCGGGCCAAUCCACGGCCGCCUUCCCCUCCACGAGCAGGCCAGCGUGCGCCUCCCCGCGCCCUCGCGGUGGUGGCUCCCGCGGCCUCCACCGCGUCCCCUGAGGCGCCAGCCUCCGGGGCCAUCCCGAGGAAUGCCACGGUACUCGUGGCCGAGAAGCUCGGCGCCGCGGGGCUCGCACUGCUGCAGGAGUUCACCAACUUCGACGGCUCCUAUGGCCAAGAUCUUGCUCUACGACGCGCUCAUCGUUAGGUCCGGGACCAAGGCGAGAAACAUCGUGCAGGAUGACGCGUCCGUCAAGGCUGGUUGGUCUGAAGGAAGUUGAAGGAGUUGGCAAUAGAGCUACCACUGGAUUCUAGACUUCGGCACACUCAUCUUGAGGAUCAUUAAAGGUACAAAAGCACAUCAGGAUGUACCUGGGUGAAGUGUCAUCUUUGAUAUUGCUUCAGUUCAACUUCAAGGGGUGCUGCAUUUGCCUUAGCCUAUGAUAUGCAGAGUUCCAUGACUUACAGUUGUUACUUACGCCUCCAUAUGUGUGAGGGGAUUAGUUUCUGGUACAAAGCUAGAGGGCAAGGGAUGGCAUUGCUCAUUUUUUUUGUUUUGAUGGAUACAAUUCAUGUUCUGUAGGACUCUAAUAAUGUAUAUGGAUGUGACUGUGUUCUGUAGGACAAUUUUUCUUUUUAUUUCUUUAUACUUUUUCCUUUUUCUUUCUCAUUUUAUUUUUUCCUGUUUAUUUCUCUACCUUUUCCUUUUUUUCCUUUCUUUUCUUCUUCUUUUCCUUUUCUCCCUUUAAUCCUUAUCCUUGCAUUCUUAUUAUUAUAUUAUUCUUUGCUCACCUCUUUUCCUCCCCAUCAGAAAACCAUAAAAAAGGAGAUUGAAAACCAAAAACCUUUUAAGAUGAGCGUAAUCAGCAACAAAGACCUUACACCUCUUUUUUCCUAGAUGUUGCUCUGGUUGGGGAGCGGACGGCGGGCAUGGAGGUUGCAGUCCUGUAGCAUGGAAGUGGUGUUAUCGAAGAUGAAGUUGAUGGUGCCCUUAGCUACACCCGUGCCGAGUAGGGCAGUGCAUGUCGGAGGUGGAGUGGAGUUAUUUAAACUCGAUUGCAGGGACGAUCUUUGGGUUUCUUUGUGUUGCAGUGACGGCCUUUAGUUUUUUUCAGCUCCUUUUCAGGUGUGUUUGUUGUGGUGGAGGAAUUAUUUGUGCUAGAAUUGAUGGCUUACAAUAGUGACUUGCGGUUGUGUAUAGAAAAUCGGUAGAAGUUAUAAAUAGAAGGUCCUAGUGGAUGAUGACGUGGAUAGCUUGCAUGUUGAGAGAAAUAAAAUUAAUGACUCUUAGGAGGGACUAA
This is a long non-coding RNA of Panicum virgatum (switchgrass), 1676 nucleotides long. RefSeq lists it as uncharacterized. NCBI's taxonomy places the organism in Eukaryota, Viridiplantae, Streptophyta, Magnoliopsida, Poales, Poaceae. The record is from RefSeq and is a predicted model, not a curated record. The transcript is spliced from 4 exons.